GACGAACGCUGGCGGCGUGCCUAAUACAUGCAAGUCGAACGCACUCUCGUUUAGAUUGACGGAGUUUGCUCCUGAUUGAUAAACAUUUGAGUGAGUGGCGGACGGGUGAGUAACACGUGGGUAACCUGCCCUAAAGUGGGGGAUAACAUUUGGAAACAGAUGCUAAUACCGCAUAAAACCUAACACCGCAUGGUGUAGGGUUGAAAGAUGGUUUCGGCUAUCACUUUAGGAUGGACCCGCGGUGCAUUAGUUAGUUGGUGAGGUAAAGGCUCACCAAGACCGUGAUGCAUAGCCGACCUGAGAGGGUAAUCGGCCACACUGGGACUGAGACACGGCCCAGACUCCUACGGGAGGCAGCAGUAGGGAAUCUUCCACAAUGGACGAAAGUCUGAUGGAGCAACGCCGCGUGAGUGAAGAAGGUUUUCGGAUCGUAAAACUCUGUUGUUGGAGAAGAAUGUAUCUGAUAGUAACUGAUCAGGUAGUGACGGUAUCCAACCAGAAAGCCACGGCUAACUACGUG
RNAcentral lists this ribosomal RNA (520 nucleotides) under uncultured bacterium. RNAcentral describes it as "partial 16S ribosomal RNA". It matches the Rfam family "Bacterial small subunit ribosomal RNA", at positions 28 to 507 of the family's 1533-position model. The record is from RNAcentral.